This 578-nucleotide ribosomal RNA is filed under the name uncultured bacterium. RNAcentral describes it as "bacterial SSU rRNA". It matches the Rfam family "Bacterial small subunit ribosomal RNA", at positions 28 to 638 of the family's 1533-position model. The record is from RNAcentral.
AAUCAACGCUGGCGGCGUGCCUAACACAUGCAAGUCGAACGAGAAAGGGGAGCAAUCCCUGAGUAAAGUGGCGACCGGGUGAGUAACACGUGACUAACCUACCCUCGAGUGUGGAAUAACAUCGGGAAACCGAUGCUAAUACCGCAUAACAUCGCAAGAUCAAAGGAGCAAUCCGCUUGAGGAGGGGGUCGCGGCUGAUUAGCUAGUUGGCGGGGUAACGGCCCACCAAGGCGAAGAUCGGUAGCCGGCCUGAGAGGGCGCACGGCCACACUGGAACUGAAACACGGUCCAGACUCCUACGGGAGGCAGCAGUGGGGAAUUUUGCGCAAUGGGGGAAACCCUGACGCAGCAACGCCGCGUGGAGGAUGAAGCCCCUUGGGGCGUAAACUCCUUUCGACCAAGACGAUAAUGACGGUACUGGUGGAAGAAGCACCGGCUAACUCUGUGCCAGCAGCCGCGGUAAUACAGAGGGUGCAAGCGUUGUUCGGAAUUAUUGGGCGUAAAGGGUGCGUAGGCGGCACGGUAAGUCACCUGUGAAAUCUCUGGGCUUAACUCAGAGCCUGCAGGCGAAACUGCCG